GUUUCCAUCAUGACAUUUAUUUUAUCAGCCAAGCUCACGCGUCAGCCUCAUCACCAGGGGUAGUGAACAUUUAGCCUGUUUCAAAUCAAAUCAUUCACCGUGCAGCACCAGAUGGCGCUAUUGGUUGCCUGUCUCUCAGCUUGACACAUUUUUACUAUCUUCACUCAUCAUAAAAUUGUUUCUCCAGACUCAAAGAUCAUUUACAUGAUUACAACGAUAUAUUUUAUUUUACAUUUUUUUACUUAAAACUUAUUUUUAUUUUUUAAGUUCUUAAAGCAUUGUUGGUUAAGGGCUUGUAAGUAAGCAGGACACUGUAAGGUCUACUACACCUGUUGUAUUCAGCAGGACACUGUAAGGUCUACUACACCUGUUGUAUUCAGCAUUACACUGUAAGGUCUACUACACCUGUUGUAUUCAGCAGUACACUGUAAGGUCUACUACACCUGUUGUAUUCAGCAGUACACUGUAAGGUCUACUAUACCUGUUGUAUUCAGCAUUUCACUGUAAGGUCUACUACACCUGUUGUAUUCAGCAGUACGCUGUAUGGUCUACAACACCUGUUGUAUUCAGCAGGACACUGUAUGGUCUACUACACCUGUUGUAUUCAGCAUGUGACAAAUAACAUUUGAUAUCAUUCCUCCCACCCAGUGCUGCUUGGAGUGUUGUGUGUUAUGUAAAUGCACCUACUGGUUCAGGGCCUUGGCCCGCUAGCUCCUACUCUUGGCCCGCUAGCUCCUACUCUUGGCCCGCUAGCUCCUACUCUGUGCCCGCUAGCUCCUACUCUGUGCCCGCUAGCUCCUACUCUGUGCCCGCUAGCUCCUACUCUGUGCCCGCUAGCUCCUACUCUGGGCCCUGUGGCCGUGGAGGGGUGACUGCUGCCUGUUAGCCAUAAUAACAGUGCUUAGACACUCAGCUGGGGCAACCACCUGGGCUGGGGAAGGAGAAGAAACAUUCCCCAAACCUCUCCUGCCAGGAAUGUGUCCUUGCUUGAUAAUCACCAUGGUAACAACAUGUGACCUUGGGGUGGCACAAUAUGUGGAGAGGCUAAGAGACCUGGGUGUCAAAGGUGGCAGUGCCAGGGCUUCGUACCCACUGACAACUUGCCUUGUCAGCUUACUUUUGACUGGUUCCUGUCGGUCUCAUUGCUGGUAUCUCGGACUACACAAACUUUAUAUUCACUCAUUCUUUGUUUACUUCUCCUAUGUUCAGUCUGACUGGGCAGAGCACCCACCACCUCUCUCUCGGCCAUGUCUCCCCAUGUCUCCCUUCCCCACUCUCCUGUCCUGCCACCCCUCUCAUCAACCCUGGCUUUCAGUUUCCCUCCGCUUUUAAACCUGAUUUCUGUGGACCCCUGGCAUUGGCAGAUGCAAUACCUCUCCUUCACUGAGAAGGGUUCCAUAUCCAGAGAAUGGUUCCUCCUUUUAGUUAUCCAGGUCCUGUCUGGUCCAGACAUUAAACCCCCAACCCUUUUAGUUAUCCAGGCCAUGUCUGGUCCAGACAUUAAACCCAACCCUUUUAGUUAACCAGGCCCUGUCUGGUCCAGACAUUAAACCCCCAACCCUUUUAGUUAUCCAGGCCCUGUCUGGUCCAGACAUUAAACCCCCAACCCUUUUAGUUAACCAGGCCCUGUCUGAUCCAGACAUUAAACCCCCAACCCUUUUAGUUAUCCAGGCCCUGUCUGGUCCAGACAUUAAACCCCCAACCCUUUUAGUUAACCAGGUCCUGUCUGGUCCAGACAUUAAACCCCCAACCCUUUUAGUUAUCCAGGUCCUGUCUGGUCCAGACAUUAAACCCCCAACCCUUUUAGUUAUCCAGGUCCUGUCUGGUCCAGACAUUAAACCCCCAACCCUUUUAGUUAACCAGGCCCUGUCUGGUCCAGACAUUAAACCCCCAACCCUUUUAGUUAUCCAGGCCCUGUCUGGUCCAGACAUUAAACCCCCAACCCUUUUAGUUAACCAGGUCCUGUCUGGUCCAGACAUUAAACCCCCAACCCUUUUAGUUAUCCAGGUCCUGUCUGGUCCAGACAUUAAACCCCCAACCCUUUUAGUUAUCCAGGUCCUGUCUGGUCCAGACAUUAAACCCCCAACCCUUUUAGUUAUCCAGGCCAUGUCUGGUCCAGACAUUAAACCUCCAACCCUUUUAGUUAUCCAGGUCCUGUCUGGUCCAGACAUUAAACCCCCAACCCUUUUAGUUAUCCAGGUCCUGUCUGGUCCAGACAUUAAACCCCCAACCCUUUUAGUUAACCAGGCCCUGUCUGGUCCAGACAUUAAACCCCCAACCCUUUUAGUUAUCCAGGUCCUGUCUGGUCCAGACAUUAAACCCCCAACCCUUUUAGUUAACCAGGCCCUGUCUGGUCCAGACAUUAAACCCCCAACCCUUUUAGUUAUCCAGGCCCUGUCUGGUCCAGACAUUAAACCCCCAACCCUUUUAGUUAACCAGGUCCUGUCUGGUCCAAACAUUAAACCCCCAACCCUUUUAGUUAUCCAGGUCCUGUCUGGUCCAGACAUUAAACCCCCAACCCUUUUAGUUAUCCAGGUCCUGUCUGGUCCAGACAUUAAACCCCCAACCCUUUUAGUUAUCCAGGCCCUGUCUGGUCCAGACAUUAAACCCCCAACCCUUUUAGUUAUCCAGGUCCUGUCUGGUCCAGACAUUAAACCCCCAACCCUUUUAGUUAUCCAGGCCCUGUCUGGUCCAGACAUUAAACCCCCAACCCUUUUAGUUAUCCAGGCCCUGUCUGGUCCAGACAUUAAACCCCCAACCCUUUUAGUUAACCAGGCCCUGUCUGGUCCAGACAUUAAACCCCCAACCCUUUUAGUUAACCAGGCCCUGUCUGGUCCAGACAUUAAACCCCCAACCCUUUUAGUUAUCCAGGCCCUGUCUGGUCCAGACAUUAAACCCCCAAACCUUUUAGUUAUCCAGGCCCUGUCUGGUCCAGACAUUAAACCCCCAACCCUUUGUAUCUUAAGUGUUGUGAGUUUCUUUGGUUAUGUCUGAUUCAGACACCAUCAGUCAUCUCAAGGGCUGCCACUGACACGUGUCUUUUUAUCUAUUUGUCUGAGUCCCGGGCCAGCAUUGGAAUCAUCGCUCCUCUCCCAUUGGUUGUUUUUUUGGUAUCAGCAUGACGCAUGUUCAUUUGGAAUAAAUUGUCCCUUUAGUGAAAUCAACGUUUUUGUUCAUCCUUUCCUGGUCUCUGUAAAAACAUGUAUUUUCUGCCCUUC
Molecule: long non-coding RNA, 3218 nt
Organism: Oncorhynchus keta (chum salmon)
Lineage: Eukaryota; Metazoa; Chordata; Actinopteri; Salmoniformes; Salmonidae
Exons: 3
Source: RefSeq, a predicted model, not a curated record